Homo sapiens (human) is the source of this 72-nucleotide microRNA precursor. It matches the Rfam family "mir-3689 microRNA precursor family". The record is from Rfam. Lineage: Eukaryota; Metazoa; Chordata; Mammalia; Primates; Hominidae.
GGGAGGUGUGAUAUCGUGCUUCCUGGGACGUGUGAUGCUGUGCUUCCUGGGAGGUGUGAUCCCACACUCGCU